GCCGGCCUAGCUCAACUGGUAGAGCAACUGACUUGUAAUCAGUAGGUUGGGGGUUCAAGUCCUCUGGCCGGCACUA
RNAcentral lists this transfer RNA (76 nucleotides) under Staphylococcus simulans. RNAcentral's name for it is "tRNA-Thr". It matches the Rfam family "tRNA". From Rfam's summary of the family: Transfer RNA (tRNA) molecules are approximately 80 nucleotides in length. Their secondary structure includes four short double-helical elements and three loops (D, anti-codon, and T loops). The record is from RNAcentral. Lineage: Bacteria; Bacillati; Bacillota; Bacilli; Caryophanales; Staphylococcaceae.